This 495-nucleotide ribosomal RNA is filed under the name uncultured bacterium. RNAcentral's name for it is "partial 16S ribosomal RNA". It matches the Rfam family "Bacterial small subunit ribosomal RNA", at positions 28 to 507 of the family's 1533-position model. The record is from RNAcentral.
GACGAACGCUGGCGGCGUGCCUAAUACAUGCAAGUAGAACGCUGAAGGAGGAGCUUGCUUCUCUGGAUGAGUUGCGAACGGGUGAGUAACGCGUAGGUAACCUGCCUGGUAGCGGGGGAUAACUAUUGGAAACGAUAGCUAAUACCGCAUAAGAGUAGAUGUUGCAUGACAUUUACUUAAAAGGUGCAAUUGCAUCACUACCAGAUGGACCUGCGUUGUAUUAGCUAGUUGGUGAGGUAACGGCUCACCAAGGCAACGAUACAUAGCCGACCUGAGAGGGGGAUCGGCCAAACUGGGACUGAGACACGGCCCAGACUCCUACGGGAAGCAGCAGUAGGGAAUCUUCGGCAAUGGACGGAAGGCUGACCGAGCAACGCCGCGUGAGUGAAGAAGGUUUUCGGAUCGGAAAGCUCUGUUGUAAGAGAAGAACGAGUGGGAGAGUGGAAAGUUCACACUGUGACGGUAUCUUACCAGAAAGGGACGGCUAACUACGUG